UUCAGUGUGGUUGGGAACAGUUGUAAUGCCCAUGGCUUGAACAGGGAACAAGCAAUUGUUCACGACAGCAGCAAAAGCCUGAGCACAGAAUGGCCUUUCUGAAGCUGAAAGCUGACUCCAAAGAGUUGGAGGCUUUUGGGAAGCUCUGUGGACUGCUGGUCUCUAUUUAUCCCCAGGCCAGAAGCAAUGCUGGUAGCUGAAAUGUGAACUUCUCUAGAGCUCUGUAAGUGAUCUCCCUUUGGUCCCAGAGGAUCAUCCUCUCACAGGGAAGGAUGUUACUGGCUGGAAACAUCUGUCUUCUACAAAGGAAUACCCAUGGCUCACACCUUUUACCGUAUUUAACAAAGUCUGUGCAUCAGGUAUGUGUCAGGUAGUUCCUCUGCUUCUGGAUGAACAGUGCCAGCAUCUGACUUAGCAAAAACCCUACAUUGCUGUGCAGAGGUCCUCCGUGCUGCCACCCUGUUAUACUGGUGGUCUGAUGCAUAUGGCUUUAGUGGAGGAUUCUCAAUGACAUUUUACCUGACCAUAGACCCAGGAGUCUCCUUAAGACUUCACAACAGAGACCCUACUCAAUGGGAGGUUACAAAGUCCUUAUGUAAAAACCAAUUAUUUAUUUUUGCUUAGAGAAAAUUAUCUGUCCUGUUUGAAAAAAAAAAAAAAAAGUCUUAUGAUAACCUGAUGACUCAACAGUUUUAAGGCAAUUUUGAGGGGAAUGAAGGAAAAAAAAAAAGGCAAGAAACUAUCUAAAAGGAAAGACAACCAGAUGAGGGAGAAAACACUAAAAUUAAUUGCAGGGUGUCAUGAUACGCUUUCUAGAUAAGCACAUUUGCCAUUAAGGUGAGGGAAGGUUUUGCCAGCAAAACUUAGUACCAUGUUUUCUUCCUGAAAGACCAAUUUCUCUUCUGGCAGUAAAUAGGUAACACUCACUUUCUCCUGUGACGUAGUAGUGCGCAGAAGCCUUUAGAAAGGUUUGCUUUAUAUUGCUGCUUGCCUGACUGCUGCUCUCCUGCCCUGAUGAAGGCAACGUUUGUGUCAUGGUUGGAUUUGUAAACAAAAUGUUCUAAUGACUUACCAUGAGAGUUUGAUUAAAGCCCUUGAAAAGACCAAGAAUUGCAUGCAUGGAAUUAGUUAUUCUUUGAUAUCAAAGACCCUUUGGCUUGGUUUUUUUUUGUCAGAAGGCAGAACAACUGUGUAGAUAAAUGACUUUGGUCUCUGUCUGCCUCAAACAGCACAUGGGAUGUGAGAAGUACUCAGAGGAUUUUGUUCUGGAUAUAUAUUUUUUUCCCAUUACAAGUUAAUGUAAAAACACCACAAAACAGUGUAUGCAGCAUUUGGGCUGAUACAGAGCCAGGUGGGGAGCUUGUCCAAAGACCUAAGUGUUUGCAGCCAUCCCAAAAAGCACAUCUGUAGGUCACUAAAAUGCAUCCUGUCUUGCCAUAUAGCUGUUGGAUCCUGAUCUGUACUGAGAAUUUGCACGUGUGAGUAGUGAUGACAGUGCUAGCACUAGGCACCUUAUAAGUAUGCAGCACUGCCUAAAAUGUGUGUUCAUCACAGCUCCCUAUGGUGUGCCACGUGCCACAGAUUUCACACACUGAGUUUCCAUUAGCUCAAGAAGUAAUAAGCAUAUGGGUAUUUGGGGCUGGAAGAAGUGAGCUCUGCCCCAGAGUAUUGCCAUGAACUUCUGGCAGUCAAUAACGGGCACGGCCUGGCCAGUUUGAUAUAGUGAGUAUUACCAACAGGAUUAGAGGAACUAGCAGAGGAGUUUAAUAUUUUUUAACCAGUUUAUUACAAUUCCUUGGACAAAACCCAUUUGAACUCAUAUUUUUCAGAAUCCUGUUUUCAAGUAUGGUUUAUAACCUGUGAGCUAUAUCGAAGCAGCUGUAAUUAAAACAUGUAUAAAUAUAGCCUAUACUAUUUUUAAGAAUAGUGGAGGUAAAUUAUACCCUUUUGUGUAUAUGGGUUAUAAGUAAUUGUUUGGUUUCAGAUAUGUGACUGAGAACAAAAUAUCUUUUUAUUUCUUUAAAGACAUUAGAAAAAUGGGAUCGUAAUUUAUUUCAUUCUUAUGGUAUGCUCAUCUCUGUAGUACUUGACUGUCAUGUGAUAUUACUAUCAAAGUAAUUUCUUGCAUGCUUGCUCUUUCAGUUUCUUAAGGGGAGAGACAAG
This is a long non-coding RNA of Cygnus olor (mute swan), 2163 nucleotides long. RefSeq lists it as uncharacterized. The transcript has 3 exons. The record is from RefSeq and is a predicted model, not a curated record. Lineage: Eukaryota; Metazoa; Chordata; Aves; Anseriformes; Anatidae.